GAGGGUAUAGCUCAGUGGUAGAGUGUGCGCUUACAUGAGCAAGGUCAUGGGUUCAAUCCCCAGUACCUCCA
This 71-nucleotide transfer RNA is filed under the name Camelus ferus (Wild Bactrian camel). It matches the Rfam family "tRNA". Rfam says of the family: Transfer RNA (tRNA) molecules are approximately 80 nucleotides in length. Their secondary structure includes four short double-helical elements and three loops (D, anti-codon, and T loops). Further hydrogen bonds mediate the characteristic L-shaped molecular structure. tRNAs have two regions of fundamental functional importance: the anti-codon, which is responsible for specific mRNA codon recognition, and the 3' end, to which the tRNAs corresponding amino acid is attached (by aminoacyl-tRNA synthetases). tRNAs cope with the degeneracy of the genetic code in two manners: having more than one tRNA (with a specific anti-codon) for a particular amino acid; and 'wobble' base-pairing, i.e. permitting non-standard base-pairing at the 3rd anti-codon position. Lineage: Eukaryota; Metazoa; Chordata; Mammalia; Artiodactyla; Camelidae. The record is from Rfam by way of RNAcentral.